This 705-nucleotide ribosomal RNA is filed under the name Pantoea sp. RNAcentral describes it as "bacterial SSU rRNA". It matches the Rfam family "Bacterial small subunit ribosomal RNA", at positions 61 to 757 of the family's 1533-position model. Lineage: Bacteria; Pseudomonadati; Pseudomonadota; Gammaproteobacteria; Enterobacterales; Erwiniaceae. The record is from RNAcentral.
GUCGAACGGCAGCACAGAGAAGCUUGCUCUCGUGUGGCGAGUGGCGGACGGGUGAGUAAUGUCUGGGGAUCUGCCCGGUAGAGGGGGAUAACCACAUAAACGGUGGCUAAUACCGCAUAACGUCGCAAGACCAAAGAGGGGGACCUUCGGGCCUCUCACUAUCGGAUGAACCCAGAUGGGAUUAGCUAGUAUGUGGGGUAACGGCUCACCUAGGCGACGAUCCCUAGCUGGUCUGAGAGGAUGACCAGCCACACUGGAACUGAGACACGGUCCAGACUCCUACGGGAGGCAGCAGUGGGGAAUAUUGCACAAUGUGCGCAAGCCUGAUGCAGCCAUGCCGCGUGUAUGAAGAAGGCCUUCGGGUUGUAAAGUACUUUCAGCGGGGAGGAAGGGAUGAAGCUUAAUACGCUUCGUCAUUGACGUUACCCGCAGAAGAAGCACCGGCUAACUCCGUGCCAGCAGCCGCGGUAAUACGGAGGGUGCAAGCGUUAAUCGGAAUUACUGGGCGUAAAGCGCACGCAGGCGGUCUGUCAAGUCGGAUGUGAAAUCCCCGGGCUUAACCUGGGAACUGCAUUCGAGACUGGCAGGCUAGAGUCUUGUAUAGAGGGGUAGAAUUCCAGGUGUAGCGGUGAGAUGCGUAUAGAUCUGGAGGAAUACCGGUGGCGAAGGCGGCGCCCUGGACACAGACUGACGCUCAGGUGCGAA